Molecule: ribosomal RNA, 459 nt
Filed under: uncultured bacterium
Lineage: Bacteria
Description: partial 16S ribosomal RNA
Rfam family: Bacterial small subunit ribosomal RNA
Source: RNAcentral
CCUACGGGCGGCAGCAGUGAGGAAUAUUGGUCAAUGGUCGGGAGACUGAACCAGCCAAGCCGCGUGAGGGAGGAAGGUACAGAGUAUCGUAAACCUCUUUUGUCAGGGAACAAAGACUGGGACGCGUCCCCGGAUGAGUGUACCUGAAGAAAAAGCAUCGGCUAACUCCGUGACAGCAGCCGCGGUAAUACGGAGGAUGCGCGCGUUAUCCGGAUUUAUUGGGUUUAAAGGGGGCGCAGGCGGUCUGUUAAGUCAGCGGUAAAAGCCCGGGGCUCAACCCCGGCCCGCCGUUGAAACUGGCAGUCGCGAGUUGGAGAGAAGUAGGCGGAAUGCGCGGUGUAGCGGUGAAAUGCAUAGAUAUCGCGCAGAACUCCGAUUGCGAAGGCAGCAUGCCGGCUCCACACUGACGCUGAGGCACGAAAGCGUGGGUAUCGAACAGGAUUAGAUACCCUAGUAGUC